RNAcentral lists this ribosomal RNA (910 nucleotides) under uncultured bacterium. RNAcentral's name for it is "bacterial SSU rRNA". It matches the Rfam family "Bacterial small subunit ribosomal RNA", at positions 8 to 916 of the family's 1533-position model. The record is from RNAcentral.
AGAGUUUGAUCCUGGCUCAGGAUGAACGCUGGCGGCGUGCCUAAUACAUGCAAGUCGAACGAAUCUCUUUUAGAGAUGAGUGGCGAACGGGUGAGUAAUACAUAGGUAACCUGCCCCUGUGCGGGGGAUAACAGGAGGAAACUCCUGCUAAUACCGCAUAGCCAUGAGCACCGCAUGGAGCUCAUGCCAAAUAUCCUUUAUGGGAUAGCGCAGGGAUGGACCUAUGGCGCAUUAGCUGGUUGGCGGGGCAACGGCCCACCAAGGCAACGAUGCGUAGCCGGCCUGAGAGGGCGGACGGCCACAUUGGGACUGAGACACGGCCCAGACUCCUACGGGAGGCAGCAGUAGGGAAUUUUCGGCAAUGGGGGAAACCCUGACCGAGCAACGCCGCGUGAGCGAAGAAGGCCUUCGGGUCGUAAAGCUCUGUUGUAAAGGAAGAACGGCGCAUACAGGAAAUGGUAUGCGAGUGACGGUACUUUACCAGAAAGCCACGGCUAACUACGUGCCAGCAGCCGCGGUAAUACGUAGGUGGCGAGCGUUAUCCGGAAUCAUUGGGCGUAAAGAGGGAGCAGGCGGCCGCAAGGGUCUGUGGUGAAAGACCGAAGCUAAACUUCGGUAAGCCAUGGAAACCGGGCGGCUAGAGUGCGGAAGAGGAUCGUGGAAUUCCAUGUGUAGCGGUGAAAUGCGUAGAUAUAUGGAGGAACACCAGUGGCGAAGGCGACGGUCUGGGCCGCAACUGACGCUCAUUCCCGAAAGCGUGGGGAGCAAAUAGGAUUAGAUACCCUAGUAGUCCACGCCGUAAACGAUGGUCACUAAGUGUCGGGGGUCAAACCCCGGUGCUGCAGUCAACGCAAUAAGUGACCCGCCUGAGUAGUACGUUCGCAAGAAUGAAACUCAAAUGAAUUGACGG